GGGCCUGUAGCUCAUUGGCAGAGUGCCUGCCUCUUAGGCAGGAAGCCUUAGGCUCAACACCCAGCACUUCCA
RNAcentral lists this transfer RNA (72 nucleotides) under Cricetulus griseus (Chinese hamster). It matches the Rfam family "tRNA". From Rfam's summary of the family: Transfer RNA (tRNA) molecules are approximately 80 nucleotides in length. Their secondary structure includes four short double-helical elements and three loops (D, anti-codon, and T loops). Further hydrogen bonds mediate the characteristic L-shaped molecular structure. tRNAs have two regions of fundamental functional importance: the anti-codon, which is responsible for specific mRNA codon recognition, and the 3' end, to which the tRNAs corresponding amino acid is attached (by aminoacyl-tRNA synthetases). tRNAs cope with the degeneracy of the genetic code in two manners: having more than one tRNA (with a specific anti-codon) for a particular amino acid; and 'wobble' base-pairing, i.e. permitting non-standard base-pairing at the 3rd anti-codon position. Lineage: Eukaryota; Metazoa; Chordata; Mammalia; Rodentia; Cricetidae. The record is from Rfam by way of RNAcentral.